RNAcentral lists this ribosomal RNA (497 nucleotides) under uncultured Syndiniales. RNAcentral's name for it is "bacterial SSU rRNA". It matches the Rfam family "Eukaryotic small subunit ribosomal RNA". Lineage: Eukaryota; Dinophyceae; Syndiniales. The record is from RNAcentral.
GAUUUGUCUGGUAUAAUUCCGUUAACGAACGAGACCUUAGCCUGCUAAAUAGGAUCCCCAACCUUCUGGUUGACGGAGGCCUUCUUAGAGGGACGUCGCGUGUCUAACGSAGGNAAGUGUGAGGCAAUAACAGGUCUGUGAUGCCCUUAGAUGUUCUGGGCUGCACGCGCGCUACACUGAUGCGUUCAACGAGUUUUACCUGCUCCGGAAGGAAUGGGCAACCUUGUGAAAGCGCAUCGUGAUGGGGAUAGAUUAUUGCAAUUUUUAAUCUUCAACGAGGAAUUCCUAGUAAGCGCAAGUCAUCAACUUGCACUGAUUACGUCCCUGCCCUUUGUACACACCGCCCGUCGCUCCUACCGAUUGAAUGAUCCGGUGAAUACUUGGGACCGUGUCGCAAUCAUGUUUCUGGUUGCGAUGUGGGAACUUGAGUGAACCUUAUCAUUUAGAGGAAGGAGAAGUCGUAACAAGGUUUCCGUAGUGAACCUGCAGAAGGAUCA